UACGAAGGGGGCUAGCGUUGCUCGGAAUUACUGGGCGUAAAGGGCGCGUAGGCGGACAGUUUAGUCAGAGGUGAAAGCCCAGGGCUCAACCUUGGAAUUGCCUUUGAUACUGGCUGUCUUGAGUUCGGGAGAGGUGAGUGGAAUGCCGAGUGUAGAGGUGAAAUUCGUAGAUAUUCGGCGGAACACCAGUGGCGAAGGCGACUCACUGGCCCAAUACUGACGCUGAGGCGCGAAAGCGUGGGGAGCAAACAGG
This 253-nucleotide ribosomal RNA is filed under the name uncultured bacterium. RNAcentral describes it as "partial 16S ribosomal RNA". It matches the Rfam family "Bacterial small subunit ribosomal RNA", at positions 524 to 776 of the family's 1533-position model. The record is from RNAcentral.